UACGGAGGAUCCGAGCGUUAUCCGGAUUUAUUGGGUUUAAAGGGUGCGUAGGUGGUUUGAUAAGUCAGCGGUGAAAGUUUGCAGCUUAACUGUAAAAAUACCGUUGAAACUGUCGGACUUGAGUGUAAAUGAGGUAGGCGGAAUGCGUCGUGUAGCGGUGAAAUGCUUAGAUAUGACGCAGAACUCCGAUUGCGAAGGCAGCUUACUGGGAUGCAACUGACGCUGAGGCACGAAAGCGUGGGUAUCAAACAGGAUUAGAUACCCUGGUA
This 269-nucleotide ribosomal RNA is filed under the name uncultured prokaryote. RNAcentral's name for it is "partial 16S ribosomal RNA". It matches the Rfam family "Bacterial small subunit ribosomal RNA", at positions 524 to 792 of the family's 1533-position model. The record is from RNAcentral.